UACGUAGGGUGCGAGCGUUAAUCGGAAUUACUGGGCGUAAAGCGUGCGCAGGCGGUUAUGUAAGACAGUUGUGAAAUCCCCGGGCUCAACCUGGGAAUUGCAUCUGUGACUGCAUAGCUAGAGUACGGUAGAGGGGGAUGGAAUUCCGCGUGUAGCAGUGAAAUGCGUAGAUAUGCGGAGGAACACCGAUGGCGAAGGCAAUCCCCUGGACCCUGUACUGACGCUCAUGCACGAAAGCGUGGGGAGCAAACAGG
RNAcentral lists this ribosomal RNA (254 nucleotides) under uncultured bacterium. RNAcentral's name for it is "partial 16S ribosomal RNA". It matches the Rfam family "Bacterial small subunit ribosomal RNA", at positions 524 to 776 of the family's 1533-position model. The record is from RNAcentral.